This 1185-nucleotide long non-coding RNA is filed under the name Equus caballus (horse). Its description in RNAcentral is "lncRNA (ENSECAG00000041666.2)". The record is from RNAcentral. Lineage: Eukaryota; Metazoa; Chordata; Mammalia; Perissodactyla; Equidae.
AUGUAACUGUGAGUGUGCUAUGUGAGAUCCAUGUAAAUGGAAGAAUCCGGGAGCAUUAUAUUCCAUUAAUAACAAGAGUUUGUGUAAAAACGGCAGUUUGCUCUUGACAUAAAGUGCUCUGACGUGGAAUGCUUCUUCCUUUCUUAACCUUUCAGAUCUCCUGAUUGCCUUACAGUGUAGAUCUUCACACUCAAUCAAUUCUGCUUGCUUCUAAGGAGGCAUUUCUGUUUUCAAAAGGGGGGUUCAUGAGGGCAGUGAUAGCAGCAGUAGAAGGUCUGGGUAUGUUAGCUAGGACUUUCUUAGUGGCAGGUGAAAAAAACUGAAUGUGAACCAGGGAAACCAGAAAAGGGCAGCGUGGCGUUGGCUUUAGGGACUCCUGGAAUCAGGGACUUGAAUGUCGUGAGGACUCCUGCUCUCCACUGUUUGUCUUGGCUUCUUGGAGCAUCAGCUUGUUUGCUUGGACUGGCUUCUCAAGUGACGGGGCCAUUGUUGCUGCAGCUCUAGCCUAGCGUGUUUACAGUUCCAAGACAGAGAGGAAAGACCCUCUUUCCUCAGCUCGAGUUUGAAUAAACCCAGCAUAGAAUUCUGAUUGGCUGGACUUUGGUCACAUGUCUAUUUGUGGACCAAUCCCAGUGACUGAGGGUUGAGACUUUGUGAUUGGCCCAUCCUGGAUCAGGUGCCCACCUCUUGCCGCAUGUUAGAAACACCCGUCAGAACCACAUGGUUUGAAAAAGGCUCCAUCUACAGAGGCUGUUUUGGGCACCUAUUUUAGUAAUUUUUUCUUUGAAGUCUUCUUUCCCUCUGUCUGCGUAUAUAUAUGUAUUUAUAAAAUGACAUCAAGGAGAGAGAGCCUCUGUUAUGUCCUAAUCUCUCUUUGCCGCGUGGUUGCAACUGCACAUUCUUAACAAAGGUGUGGAAGCUCCGCCGGAGAUGGAAGUCUCAGUGCAGAUGUGCUUGGACCAGGUCAAGAAGCAAAUACUUCAGCCUUUAGAGAAGAGCCCACUGGUCAGGCCUGUGUGGCAUCGCCUCAUCAUCAUCAUCAUCAGGCAUCACCUCCCCCUGGCCUCUGGCCGGGCACCUUCCCCCACUGUCCCAUCUCUCCAACAAGAGACACUCCAAGUCUGUGCUUUAGGGUGGGACUUUCUUCUGACCCUGUUAACUUGUUCAUUCUUUUAAUGCCAACUC